Molecule: transfer RNA, 59 nt
Filed under: Ligilactobacillus equi DPC 6820
Lineage: Bacteria; Bacillati; Bacillota; Bacilli; Lactobacillales; Lactobacillaceae
Description: Lactobacillus equi DPC 6820 tRNA
Rfam family: tRNA
About the family: Transfer RNA (tRNA) molecules are approximately 80 nucleotides in length.
Source: Rfam by way of RNAcentral
CUGGAUAGAGUGUCUGACUACGAAUCAGAAGGUUGCAGGUUCGACUCCUGCUAGGUGCA